RNAcentral lists this ribosomal RNA (468 nucleotides) under uncultured bacterium. Its description in RNAcentral is "partial 16S ribosomal RNA". It matches the Rfam family "Bacterial small subunit ribosomal RNA", at positions 28 to 507 of the family's 1533-position model. The record is from RNAcentral.
GACGAACGCUGGCGGCGUGCUUAACACAUGCAAGUCGAACGGAAAGGCCCUGCUUUUGUGGGGUGCUCGAGUGGCGAACGGGUGAGUAACACGUGAGUAACCUGCCCUUGACUUUGGGAUAACUUCAGGAAACUGGGGCUAAUCCCGGAUAGGAGAUCCUGCUGCAUGGUGGGGGUUGGAACGUUUCGGCUGUUGGGGAUGGACUCGCGGCUUAUGAGCUAGUUGGUGGGGUAGUGGCUUACCAAGGCUUUGACGGGUAGCCGGCCUGAGAGGGUGACCGGCCACAUUGGGACUGAGAUACGGCCCAGACUCCUACGGGAGGCAGCAGUGGGGAAUAUUGCACAAUGGGCGGAAGCCUGAUGCAGCAACGCCGCGUGCGGGAUGACGGCCUUCGGGUUGUAAACCGCUUUCGCCUGUGACGAAGCGUGAGUGACGGUAAUGGGUAAAGAAGCACCGGCUAACUACGUG